UCCACACCGCCGUUCUCUUUUUUCCUCGCCGCCAGCCUCCACCUCUCCCAUCGUCACCCACCAGAUCGAUGCCCUCUAUGUUCCCUCUCCCUGGCCACCUUGCCCCAUGCACACCCCAUAUGCCUAUGUUCACCUCGGCUGCUCCAGACAUCGGCACGUACGUCUGCGGCAUCGGUGGAUCUAGCUAUUAUGUUGUGCUCGCUCCUCAUGUUCGAUGCGGGAGGUGGUGGCAUCGGAUCUUGCCCUCCUCGCCUGUUGCUACUCACGGCCGGCGGCCUGCUUCAUGGUCAGGAAUCCCCUAUCCCAGCCCCUUCGCACGCACAACAUAGGUCAUCCUCCCCGCGUCCGCCAUGAUGGCCACCAAUAGCGCCGCACCCGUCGCCGCGUCGAAGAGGGGUGCCUUCACAGUCUUCCUCUCCAGUAGAUUAUCCAUCUAGGACCUCAGGAAGACGGGGUAGCCACCAUAUCUGGAGAUAGUGGACUAGAGCAAGUUGAAGAAGAUCUGGGUUGGCGAGAUGGUCAUCCCCAAGGACCAUGAGGAUAGUAAUUCCAAGCUCGACCCUAGAUGGGUUACACUCCAAGGCAUUUAGAAGACAUAAUUUGUGGCUUGAAGUGAUGGGCGGUUGUGGACAAUUUCAGGUAUGUGACCUGGUAGGUAAUACAUGUGGUGGACAGAUGUUGGUCUGGACUGGAACCAGACGAAGAAAAAUAUGGGUCAUGGCAUAUUGCAAAGGGUCCAAUAAGAGGGACAAGUUACAUCAUAGAUACUGCAAGAAUUGCAUUCAACAAGUACCCUUUGAUUGUGGAUGAAGUGUUGAACAAGGAGGCCUGCGAAUGCCCCAAAUGCAGGAAGGAGUGCAACUGCGGCGUGUGCCAAACUAGAAAGGGGAGGCCCCGACAGGGAGAAUUGUUUGUGCUACCAAGAGGAUGAUGGUCAACCUGGUGUGAACUAAGAGCAAUGAUGCUCUCAAGGAUGAAAUAGUCAUACCCAUGGGUACUCUCGUGACUUGUCUUGUAGGCAUAGAUCUGCAAUUUGAAGAUGUCCGUGCUCCUAUUCAAUUCUAGAGUUCUGUCACUCAUUUGGUGAGGUAAUUAUGGAAAGCAAAUUGUAAUAUAUUUUAUUUACCAUUUUGUGUUGCAUUGGAUCAUUGAUGCAUCUACUCCUCAUUUCUAAAUCUGUUUUGCUUUCGCUAGUUAUGGUUUGUUAGGUUAUAUGUUUCCAUAGAUGAAAAUGUUUAACUGUUUUUAGCUGCCCACUUGCUUUUAGAGACCUUUUCUUCCAUAUUAUAAAUAGAAUAAUGUACCAAUUAAUGUAAGAAGAUCUGCAAAAUAAGGAAGGGGCAACUACAAGAAACUCUCAAACACUUAACUCUACUUCAAGAGGUGUCUUCAGUUGUUGCUGGCCUUCACAUAAAGUUGUUAUUUGUCAUAAAAAUGGUAAAGAUAUGUAAAUAUACUCCAAAUUUCUAUUUCCUUGUUUUCCUCAUACAGUCAAUAACUUGAUAAAUGAGGUUAUCUUUUUAGCCCUUUCAUGUAUCCAAGAAAUGGAGAUGAAUGGAUAAGAAAAGUCGGCGAGUACACCACUUUAAGUUACAUACAGAAGAUUUCACCUUUCAUUGCUUAAAUCAGGGGGUAUCAGGAUAUAAAAAUUUGAACCCUUCUUGUAAGCCAGAGGUGUUGUAUAGUCUAUGUGAUGAGGCAUUACCUUCUGAGUAAGUACAGGCUAUCAUAUUUGCCAUAGUAGUUCAGUUCACUAAUGUCAUAUUAAUUAUCUUGUUACUUUGUUAAGAAAGUUGAGGACCGGGAUUAACAUUAAAGGUAGAGAAUGUAUGGCCAGGGAGAAAAAUCAAAGCUCCAACCAAAAAAGUAUUUAUCUUGGGAAGAUCCUUUUUUGUGGUCAGGUAACUUGCUUGACAUUAAUGAUCAUAGGUUUUGUCUUGUUUCCUAGCAACAAGAGCUAAAAGAAAGAUAUAAUGACAUGGCUAAAGCAAUGAAACGAGGAGAAACUGCUAGAAAUGAGGAAUAUAAUCAUAUCAUUUCUCAAAUAAAGGAAGCAUAAGAAGCCUGCUUAACUUCUUCUGCUUCCUUUAUUUGAGAAAGGAUGUUAUUAACUACUUCAGCUUCCUUUAUUUGAGAGAGAAGCUAAAAGGAGUUAAUCAUAUCCUUUCUCAAAUAAAGGAAGCAUAAGAAGCAUGUUUGACUUCUUAUGCUUCCUUUAUUUGAGAAAGGAUAUUAUUAACUUCCUCUUUGCUAGCAGUUUUUCCUCCUUCGAUUGUUUUAGCCAUGUCAUUAUAUCUUCCUUUUAGCUCCUUUUGUUAUGACACAAGACAAGACCUAUGGUCAUUAAUGUCAACUAAGUGACUUGACCACAAAAAAGGAACUUCCCAAGAUAAAUACCUUUCUAGUUGCAGCUUUGAUAUUUUUUGUCUGUACACACAUUCUCUAUCUUUAAUGUCAAUCCAGGUCCUCAACUUUCUGAACAAAGUAACAAGAUAACUAAUAUGACAGUAAGUAAGUGAACUACUCCAGCAAAUAUGAUAGCCUUUACUUACUCAGAAGAUAAUGCCUCAUCACACAAACAAUUCAGCACCUCCAACUUACAAGAAGGGUUCAAAUUUGUAUAUCCUGAUACCCCCUGAUUUAAGCAGCGAAGGGUGAAAUCUUCUCUGUGUAAUGUCAAAGUGAUGUACUCGCCGACUUUUCUUAUCCAUUCAUCUACAUGUCCUGGAUACUCAAAAGAGCUAAGAAAAAAUAACCUCGGUUACCAAGUUAUUGACUGCAUGGGCAAAAAAAAGGAAAAAGUAGUUUGGAGUGUACUUACAUAUCUUUGCCAAUUUCUAUGAUGGAGAACAACUUUAUGUGAAGGUCGGCAACAACUAAAGACACCUCUUCAAGUUGAGUUAAGUCUUUGAGAGUUUCUUCUAGUUGCCCCUUCCUUAUUUUGCAGAUCUACUUACAUCAUUUGGUACAUUAUUAUAUUUAUAAUGCAAAAGAAAAGGUCUCUAAAAGCAAGCAUGCAGCUAAGAACAGUUUAAAAAAUUCAUUUGUGGAAACAUAUACCAAGUUUGGUUCCAGAUUAUAAAAUAAAAUGCAAAUAAACUUUCAUUAUAUUAUAAGUUGAGAAAUAAUAAACAAUAUCCCACUCAAGUUUAUUAUCUAUUUUGUGUUAACAAGACAGAAGCAAUAAGAAAACAACAGAUUUUUUAGCUUGGCAACAUUCUCAAACAACCUAACUAACCAUAACUAGCUAAAUCAAGCCGGUUUAGAAAUGAGGAGUAGAUGCAUCAAUGAUCCAAUGCAACACGAAAUGCUAAAUAAAACAUAUUACUACUUGCUUUCCCAAAUUACCUUGCCAAAUGAAUCAAAGAACUCCAGAAAUUGAAUAGGAGCACCAACAUCUUCAAACUGCAGCUCUAUGCUUGCAAGGCAAGUCACGAGAGUACCCCUGGGUACAACUAUUUCAUCCUUGAGAGCAUCAUUGCUCUCAAGUCGCACCAGGUUGACCUUUGGCCUCUUGGUAGCAUAGACUAUUCACCAUGUCGGUGCCUCCCCUUCCCUAGUCUGCCAAAUAAAACUAGAUAAAGAGAUCCAUCAAUUAGAAAGAAAUUCUAAAAUACCCCCAUGUCAAGCAUCGACUUCAGAUUUCUCACUGGCACACUGCAUUUGGGGCAUUAUUAGGCCUCCUUCUUCAACACCUCAUCUGAAAUCAAAUGGUACAUGUUAAACAAACAGAACAUUGACAAACUAACCCAAAGAGGAUUUCCUACCACAUGCUCUAUGAAAAAGCAGAGAGGAAAUUAUUUUACUUGUUACGAAUGUAAUUCUUGUAGUAUCUGAGAGGUUACUUGCCCCUCUUAUUGGACCCUUUGAAAGUUGUUGUGA
This is a long non-coding RNA of Triticum aestivum (bread wheat), 3882 nucleotides long. RefSeq lists it as uncharacterized. NCBI's taxonomy places the organism in Eukaryota, Viridiplantae, Streptophyta, Magnoliopsida, Poales, Poaceae. The transcript is spliced from 6 exons. The record is from RefSeq and is a predicted model, not a curated record.